RNAcentral lists this long non-coding RNA (1440 nucleotides) under Nicotiana benthamiana. RNAcentral's name for it is "long non-coding RNA (NBEN_LNC006115)". Lineage: Eukaryota; Viridiplantae; Streptophyta; Magnoliopsida; Solanales; Solanaceae. The record is from RNAcentral.
AUCCCCCACAAAAGCUAAAGCCAGACCUUUUUUCUCUAGAAAUUUGUUUUAAUUAUUUUUAGUAACAUGGCCUUUGAUCCCUAGAAGAUCAACAUACCCUGUAUCUCCACGUGUCAGCAGACAAUUCAUCGGAAUUUGAUAGCUAUAUUGAAACCAUUUGGUAUAUAUGCACAUGAAACCAUAUACUUUGCUCCCCUUAUUUUUGUUACUACAUUACUAUAUUAUUGCAUUUUGCAACAUUGUCCCUUUCUCUCUCUAAAAUUUUGCAAAGUUGUCAUUUUGUUAACAAGAAGUGGAAGAAAAAUAAGAAGAAGAGAUAAUUUCAUGGAUCUGAAAGAAACUGAGCUGUGUUUGGGGUUGCCUGGUGGUGGAGAAAGAGAUAAAAUCAAAGGGAAAAGAGGGUUUUCUGAAACUGUUGAUUUGAAACUUAAUUUUCAUACCAAUGAUUCUUCUUCUCCUAUGGAUCUCAAGGAGAAGAUCAAGACUCCUACUACUAAAGAAAUUGCUAAUUGUAACAAGGAUUCAGUCAAGCAAACUUAAUUUUCAAACCAAUGAUUCUUCUUCUGCUAUGGAUCUCAAGGAGAAAAUCAAGACUCCUACUACUAAAGAAAUUGCUAAUUGUAACAAGGAUUCAGUCAAGCCACCUGCCAAGUAAGUCUCUUUUUUGAUUUCUUGAGUCGAGAGUUUAUAAGGCAGAGAGGUAAGGUAUACGUACGUACAAAUAUGGAGUCAGGAUUUGAAGUUACUGGGUUCAGGACUCUAUUAUUUUUAUGUUUGUGGGUUCAAAAGUAAGAAUAUGUACUUAUUUAAUGAAUUUUUUAAGACAGAUAUAUGAUUUCGACUAAAGUUACUGGGUUCGGCUGAACCUGUACCUCCGCCCUUGCGUACGUACAACUCUCCCAGAAUCAAUUACAGAAUUAUACUGAGUAUGUUAUUGUUGUUGUUGUUUGUGUAGUGGCGUACGAUUAAAGAGGCUCAUCUAUAUAAUCUUGUUCACUUAAAUACGAGUAUUUUUUCAAUUCUUUUCUUUCAUUUUUCAUGAUUUUUAACGUCAUCUCAUGGUGGGACAUUGAGGAAUAUUCAGAAAUGCAUUUUCUUUCACGCAUUUUAACUUUCGCUUCAAACAAGUUCAACUAUAGGUCUCUAGCUCCAGUGUUAAUUAAUGAGUAUUACUAUCAGAUACCUUGACUAGAGAGAAUUUAAUCACUAAAAAAAGUAAAAGUUUAGCCAUGUUUUCUCCAUAUCUAAUAUGCUAGUGUUUAUAAAAAAAAUCUUUUUUAAGAAAAAAAAAUUAAAAUGGUUUGACUAUGUGACAUACACACUUCUCUGACUAAAAACAGAAGUUGGCGUAAUCCCUUUUCUUUUAUUUCCUAAAACUAAGUGUAAUUUUUAUACAAUUAAUUUAUAAAAAAAAAUUGAAUUUUUGUAUUAUAUAUUGUA